Long non-coding RNA from Oreochromis aureus, 3020 nucleotides. NCBI's taxonomy places the organism in Eukaryota, Metazoa, Chordata, Actinopteri, Cichliformes, Cichlidae. The record is from Ensembl.
CACACACACACACACACACACACACACAGUCUGAUAGUUUCAUAAUUUAGAAUUGGGGACUGAAGAAAUAUUUGAAACAUGGAUUGUUUUUACACACAGCUGCUGCAGAUGACGGUGAAAGUACCAUUUCAAAUGUUUUUACCUACAAGUCAAAAUCUAGUAGAGGGAGAUUGUUAGUACAGGCAGACAGCAGCAGUUAAAUCAGCUAUUUCUCUAUUUUUUUUAUUUUUAACUUGUUAAUUGUCUGCUUUACACAGCUGAUCUAAUAUUUCCUGACAUGAUAGGGGUGUCCAAAUUCAUAGGCUGCAUCUACCGGAGGCCGGAUUUGUAGGCCGAUUAUGUCACAGCGACGCGACGAAGGCUGUCCAAAUUCGUAGACUCCUCCAAAUGCGUCCUCCUUUUCUCCAGAUUUGAAGGAUAGGUCGGGUGUAUCCUUCGUGGCCCACCCUAUCCCAGAAUUCAUAGCGUGGCCCAGCCAAUUCCAGUUUCCAACAAUGGUGGCAGCUACUUAGUUUUAAUAUUACUCUUUGUGGGUCACAAAAUAAACUUUUAAGAUAUUUUCAGGCAAGAAUGCAGCUGUGUAAACUUCAAAUAUCUGCUCGGUUUAUCAAGACAUCGCACAUUUGCAAAAGUACCCACCAGCUCGAUAGCUAGCCAGCCCAGAACUCAUUGCGGAAUUUUUCUCGUAACAAUAGCGGUCGAAGUGGGAGAUGAAUGCACUUUUAAAUGUACGUAUAUGAAAAUCUGGUGGUACAUAAGUUACAUUUUUAUAGCAGUUGUGUUAGGCUUAGGGGAUUUACAGAGUUUUUUUUAAAAUUAAAACAAUCGUCGUAAAAAAAUGCCCGUAAAGUAGCUUGUAUGGUGGGUCCCGAGGUUUUUAUUGCCGCUUACAUACAGCUAAUUUUGAUUUUUCCAAAUGUACCUUUUUGUGAUAUGUUAUAGGGACCAAAGAGCAAACGGCUGAAUUCAUAAAAAUAAGAGGAGAAAAUGACCACCUCUUCACUGGGGUGAAGAAUUCAGCCACUAGGAUGGAGGUACAAGAAUAAAUCAAUUUACAAAUCAUAUUCAUAUGAGUACGGUUUUAAUAACCUUCAUUCUGUACAGAACCUGUGAUGUCCAGAUGGUAUUCCUCUUGUGUUCUGCUGUGAAAACCUUUGGAUUUAGGGAUUAACAUAGUUGUCAUGGUUUUCUCUCUUCUCUUAUUUUUUGUGUGUGAUCAGGACAAUUCUGAAGAAGAUGGGCCUGCAGGGGAAAGUCACCGCCUCGCAGGCCAAAAAGAAAUGGAACAACUUAAAAAAAAAAGAAAAAAAAAAAGAUACAAAGAUUGCAAGUAUCCAGGGUCAGGAGAGGGAAUUAGUGGGAAGCCCACUGCUGCUACUUGGCCCUGGUUUGCCCUAAUGGAUGAGGUAAUAGGACAGAGUGCCUUCCAUUAGUUCUCCUGUCCUAAUUUCCUCCAUCCCUGAGGACGCUCCAGGGCCAAGUGCAGUAGUGGGUGACCAAAGCAAAAGGGAAGAGGAGACUGAUGAGGAAGAGUGUCAGCCACCCACAACAGGGAGGAAGAGAAGAGCUCAUCAGAGAGGACAUGAGAUAUCAAAGGGAGGUGGAGGAGAGGAUGUAGAGAUUUUUUUUUCUAUUCUCUAAAUGAGUUAAGAAAUUUAUUUAUUUGAAUAUAUUUGUUACGUUGUUCUAUUUGUUGUGUUAUUUUAAAAGUUUUUUUAUUAUGAAUAAAUUGAUUUAAAAAAAUGUCACUGAACUCAUUUUAUUUACAAUUGUUUUUAACAUGUAUGAACAUAAAGCCAACUUUAAACAGUUUUAAAUUGAUAUUUAUUAAAAGUAAAUAACAAUAAAAGAAUAUUUCUAAAACAUGAACAUUAGUUAAAGAAGGAAAAAAAUAAAUACAAAUUGUCAUGGCUCUGGGUCCGUUGGACCCAGUAUGUUGAGUUUAUUAUAUUAUGAUUUGUUCUCGUAUUCUCUUGUUGUGCUAUUAGUGAUUAUGAUGAUGAUGAUGAUGAUGAUUAUUACUUCUGGUUUAGGUUUUGUUUUCUCGCCCUCAUGUUUAGUUCAGGUUCCAUGUGUUUUAUUCUGUCUCUCUUUCAGUGUCCUGUCUGCAUCCUCGUGUAGUGUUCUCUUGUUUCCUGUUUUAUGGUGAAGGUCUGCGUCUCUUGUGAAUGUGUUCAGUUUUACCUGUUGUCUCGUCUUGUUAAUUACUCCCAGCUGUGUUCACCACCUGUAUGUAAUCUCCCUGUGUUUCUCUGUGUGUAUUUAAGUCGGGUCUUCUGUCUUUGUAGUUGCUGGUUCGUCUGCGUUACUUGGUAUGUUAUGGUCUGCGUCUCUCUGUCCGUCAUUCUGUGUAUUUCCCCGUGCCUCCCUGCAUCUCUGUUUCUGUUAGUUUUUCCCAGUUUAGGUUUUCUUAGUUUUACACUCAUCCUCGCCAUCUCUGUUGGAUUUACUUUUGGGUAAUAAACGCACUUGCACCAGAGCUGCCGCAUCUUGGGUCCUAAAUAAUUCACACACGGCUUGCCCCGGCAAUCCGUGACACAAGUAUUACAUUUUUCACACAGGACCUGUUGCUGGACCUUUUUUUUUUUUUUUUUUUUUUUUUUUUUUUUUUUUUUUUGUAAAUAAACUUUGAUAGAUUACACAAAGUCUCUGUCAGUGCUGCUGGAUCUGCUGAAGCAAGAUCAGACAUGGAUGGGGUGCUGCAACUGAGACCUGUGGUUUGUCUUUUCUGGUCGGAGAGUAGAGAAUCAUACAGGGUGGUCUGCAAAGAGCUUUAGGAUGCUUCCUCCUACUGGAUAAACUUACAAUGUUAAAUUUAAAAGCAAUCUAAUUAAUUGGAUGACCUAUAUUAGUUUCUACGAAUAACUUCGUAACUACGAAUAAAGAUUUCAAACUAAUCCACCCAUUUUAGGGUGGAGCUUUUGGUUCGGAUGAGAUGAGAAACAUGCACAACAUUAUUUCAGUCUCCUACCAGUCCAACAAAUCACCAGGCACUUAACCUAACUUUUGUGUUAGAUUUG